UUAUCUUUCAGGCAUGAUCUUCAUUACUUCAAGUAUGCAAAUGUGAAACAGAUAAGGGCCUUGCCUUGCAGAGUUUAUCUGAUAAGGGAUAGUAUUAAAAAGACAGCAAGUCCUGGGUAUGUGAAACUGAGUACCAAGAGGAGACUGGAUAUCGUGAAAUCAAACUUCUCGAAUUCCACAAAUUGGCCUCAGAUGGUAUCUCAGUUUGGACAUGAAGAGAAGACCGCUGCUGUGUCCACGCAUGGAGGAGAAUUGCUGGCCCUCCCUGGUCGUCUGUCCACUAGGGCAUCUGCCUCUGCGUUCUUGUGCCCUGGUUUCUGAUUGCAGAACCACUAAAAUCCUGGCUUCUUUCCUCAACAUCCUGGAGAGGUAUCCUCAGCCUCUGAACCCGUCAGCCACAUUCACACCCAGAGGAAGCAGGAAGCAUCCAGCUUCCCCUACACCCUACAGCUCUGCCUUGGGUCCUCCCAAAGCUAUAUCCAAGUAAGGUUGCAUUCUGAGGUACUAAGAUUAGGAUUUCAACAUAUGAAUUUUGGGGGACACAAAACUGAAUCCAUAAAAAGGUGGUUCGAAUCCUUUUAGAAAAAAUGUUCCGAAAGUCCAUGUAUCUACGAAUUUUUGAAAACUAGAAGAUGAUUUUGAAUUGAGGCUGCUAUUAAGAGAGACUUCAUUUAAAGACUGAAAAUAAACAUCUUCUACAA
This is a long non-coding RNA of Cercocebus atys (sooty mangabey), 701 nucleotides long. RefSeq lists it as uncharacterized. The record is from RefSeq and is a predicted model, not a curated record. The transcript has 2 exons. Lineage: Eukaryota; Metazoa; Chordata; Mammalia; Primates; Cercopithecidae.